This 46-nucleotide non-coding RNA is filed under the name Trichobilharzia regenti. Lineage: Eukaryota; Metazoa; Platyhelminthes; Trematoda; Strigeidida; Schistosomatidae. The record is from RNAcentral.
GUGCUGAUGAAGAGUCCCAAACUAGGGCGAAACAGCUGUCCAGUAC